CCUACGGGAGGCAGCAGUGAGGAAUAUUGGUCAAUGGACGAGAGUCUGAACCAGCCAAGUAGCGUGAAGGAUGACUGCCCUAUGGGUUGUAAACUUCUUUUAUAUGGGAAUAAAAUGUUCCACGUGUGGGAUGUUGUAUGUACCAUAUGAAUAAGGAUCGGCUAACUCCGUGCCAGCAGCCGCGGUAAUACGGAGGAUCCGAGCUUUAUCCGGAUUUAUUGGGUUUAAAGGGAGCGUAGGUGGAUUGUUAAGUCAGUUGUGAAAGUUUGCGGCGCAACCGUAAAAUUGCAGUUGAAACUGGCAGUCUUGAGUACAGUAGAGGUGGGCGGAAUUCGUGGUGUAGCGGUGAAAUGCUUAGAUAUCACGAAGAACUCCGAUUGCGAAGGCAGCUCACUGGACUGCAACUGACACUGAGGCUCGAAAGUGUGGGUAUCAAACAGGAUUAGAUACCCGGGUAGUC
RNAcentral lists this ribosomal RNA (460 nucleotides) under uncultured bacterium. Its description in RNAcentral is "partial 16S ribosomal RNA". It matches the Rfam family "Bacterial small subunit ribosomal RNA", at positions 338 to 795 of the family's 1533-position model. The record is from RNAcentral.